GGUCAAGUGAAGAAGCGCAUACGGUGGAUGCCUUGGCAGUCAGAGGCGAUGAAAGACGUGGUAGCCUGCGAAAAGCUUCGGGGAGUCGGCAAACAGACUGUGAUCCGGAGAUGUCUGAAUGGGGGAACCCAGCCAUCACAAGAUGGUUAUCUUACACUGAAUACAUAGGUGUAAGAGGCGAACCAGGGGAACUGAAACAUCUAAGUACCCUGAGGAAAAGAAAUCAACCGAGAUUCCCUUAGUAGUGGCGAGCGAACGGGGACCAGCCCUUAAGUUGUAUUGAGAUUAGCGGAACGCUCUGGAAAGUGCGGCCAUAGUGGGUGAUAGCCCUGUACGCGAAAAUCCCUUUGCAAUGAAAUCGAGUAGGACGGGGCACGAGAAACCUUGUCUGAAUAUGGGGGGACCAUCCUCCAAGGCUAAAUACUACUGACUGACCGAUAGUGAACCAGUACCGUGAGGGAAAGGCGAAAAGAACCGCGGAGAGCGGAGUGAAAUAGAUCCUGAAACCGUAUGCGUACAAGCAGUGGGAGCCCACUUUGUUGGGUGACUGCGUACCUUUUGUAUAAUGGGUCAGCGACUUAUUUUCAGUGGCGAGCUUAACCGAAUAGGGGAGGCGUAGCGAAAGCGAGUCUUAAUAGGGCGUCUAGUCGCUGGGAAUAGACCCGAAACCGGGCGAUCUAUCCAUGGGCAGGUUGAAGGUUGGGUAACACUAACUGGAGGACCGAACCGACUACCGUUGAAAAGUUAGCGGAUGACCUGUGGAUCGGAGUGAAAGGCUAAUCAAGCUCGGAGAUAGCUGGUUCUCCUCGAAAGCUAUUUAGGUAGCGCCUCAUGUAUCACUGUAGGGGGUAGAGCACUGUUUCGGCUAGGGGGUCAUCCCGACUUACCAAACCGAUGCAAACUCCGAAUACCUACAAGUGCCGAGCAUGGGAGACACACGGCGGGUGCUAACGUCCGUCGUGAAAAGGGAAACAACCCAGACCGUCAGCUAAGGUCCCAAAGUCAUGGUUAAGUGGGAAACGAUGUGGGAAGGCUUAGACAGCUAGGAGGUUGGCUUAGAAGCAGCCACCCUUUAAAGAAAGCGUAAUAGCUCACUAGUCGAGUCGGCCUGCGCGGAAGAUGUAACGGGGCUCAAACCAUGCACCGAAGCUACGGGUAUCACCUUUGGUGAUGCGGUAGAGGAGCGUUCUGUAAGCCUGUGAAGGUGAGUUGAGAAGCUUGCUGGAGGUAUCAGAAGUGCGAAUGCUGACAUGAGUAACGACAAUGGGUGUGAAAAACACCCACGCCGAAAGACCAAGGUUUCCUGCGCAACGUUAAUCGACGCAGGGUUAGUCGGUCCCUAAGGCGAGGCUGAAAAGCGUAGUCGAUGGAAAACAGGUUAAUAUUCCUGUACUUCUGGUUAUUGCGAUGGAGGGACGGAGAAGGCUAGGCCAGCCUGGCGUUGGUAGUCCAGGUUUAAGGUGGUAGGCUGAGAUCUUAGGUAAAUCCGGGAUCUUAAGGCCGAGAGCUGAUGACGAGUGUUCUUUUAGAACAUGAAGUGGUUGAUGCCAUGCUUCCAAGAAAAGCUUCUAAGCUUCAGGUAACCAGGAACCGUACCCCAAACCGACACAGGUGGUUGGGUAGAGAAUACCAAGGCGCUUGAGAGAACUCGGGUGAAGGAACUAGGCAAAAUGGCACCGUAACUUCGGGAGAAGGUGCGCCGGUGAGGGUGAAGCAUUUACUGCGUAAGCCCACGCCGGUCGAAGAUACCAGGCCGCUGCGACUGUUUAUUAAAAACACAGCACUCUGCAAACACGAAAGUGGACGUAUAGGGUGUGACGCCUGCCCGGUGCCGGAAGGUUAAUUGAUGGGGUUAGCGCAAGCGAAGCUCUUGAUCGAAGCCCCGGUAAACGGCGGCCGUAACUAUAACGGUCCUAAGGUAGCGAAAUUCCUUGUCGGGUAAGUUCCGACCUGCACGAAUGGCGUAACGAUGGCGGCGCUGUCUCCACCCGAGACUCAGUGAAAUUGAAAUCGCUGUGAAGAUGCAGUGUAUCCGCGGCUAGACGGAAAGACCCCGUGAACCUUUACUAUAGCUUUGCACUGGACUUUGAAUUUGCUUGUGUAGGAUAGGUGGGAGGCUUUGAAGCGUGGACGCCAGUCUGCGUGGAGCCAACCUUGAAAUACCACCCUGGCAACUUUGAGGUUCUAACUCAGGUCCGUUAUCCGGAUCGAGGACAGUGUAUGGUGGGUAGUUUGACUGGGGCGGUCUCCUCCUAAAGAGUAACGGAGGAGUACGAAGGUGCGCUCAGACCGGUCGGAAAUCGGUCGUAGAGUAUAAAGGCAAAAGCGCGCUUGACUGCGAGACAGACACGUCGAGCAGGUACGAAAGUAGGUCUUAGUGAUCCGGUGGUUCUGUAUGGAAGGGCCAUCGCUCAACGGAUAAAAGGUACUCCGGGGAUAACAGGCUGAUACCGCCCAAGAGUUCAUAUCGACGGCGGUGUUUGGCACCUCGAUGUCGGCUCAUCACAUCCUGGGGCUGAAGCCGGUCCCAAGGGUAUGGCUGUUCGCCAUUUAAAGUGGUACGCGAGCUGGGUUUAGAACGUCGUGAGACAGUUCGGUCCCUAUCUGCCGUGGACGUUUGAGAUUUGAGAGGGGCUGCUCCUAGUACGAGAGGACCGGAGUGGACGAACCUCUGGUGUUCCGGUUGUCACGCCAGUGGCAUUGCCGGGUAGCUAUGUUCGGAAAAGAUAACCGCUGAAAGCAUCUAAGCGGGAAACUUGCCUCAAGAUGAGAUCUCACUGGAACCUAGAGUUCCCUGAAGGGCCGUCGAAGACUACGACGUUGAUAGGUUGGGUGUGUAAGCGCUGUGAGGCGUUGAGCUAACCAAUACUAAUUGCCCGUGAGGCUUGACCAUAUAACACCCA
Molecule: ribosomal RNA, 2903 nt
Filed under: Pseudomonas syringae pv. actinidiae ICMP 18886
Lineage: Bacteria; Pseudomonadati; Pseudomonadota; Gammaproteobacteria; Pseudomonadales; Pseudomonadaceae
Also listed under: 4 other names
Description: bacterial LSU rRNA
Rfam family: Bacterial large subunit ribosomal RNA
Source: RNAcentral